UACGUAGGGUGCAAGCGUUGUCCGGAAUCAUUGGGCGUAAAGCGCGUGUAGGCGGUUCGGUAAGUCUGCUGUGAAAGUCCAAGGCUCAACCUUGGGAUGCCGGUGGAUACUGUCGGGCUAGAGUGCGGAAGAGGCGAGUGGAAUUCCCGGUGUAGCGGUGAAAUGCGCAGAUAUCGGGAGGAACACCAAUUGCGAAGGCAGCUCGCUGGGACGUAACUGACGCUGAGACGCGAAAGCGUGGGGAGCAAACAGG
This 253-nucleotide ribosomal RNA is filed under the name uncultured bacterium. Its description in RNAcentral is "partial 16S ribosomal RNA". It matches the Rfam family "Bacterial small subunit ribosomal RNA", at positions 524 to 776 of the family's 1533-position model. The record is from RNAcentral.